CCGGCCCGCGGCAGCAGCGCCCGCUCCCCGCCGCCUCCCCGGGCAGGAGCCGCCGCUCCGCGCCUCGGGGGCUGGCCCUGCCCGGGGAGGGCGGCUGCCGGGCCCGGGAAUCCCGGCGCCCUUCACCCGCUCCCUGCUGGCAGGCAGGAAAAGCCUUCGGCAGGCAGCCGCAGGCAGGAGUGCCCCGGUGCGGCAUCUCCCGGACAAACACUCCAGCCUGGAGCAAUGUCAACUCUGAAACCCAACGGGCGAUGGAAAUAGGCCUGCAGUUCCCCGCCACGAUCGGAUGAGUGAGGGCGGAGCCUGGGAAGUCACAGCCAACCUACAGCUCAAGAAGAACUGGUGAGCUCAAGCUAAAUCACAAGCAGGACCUUCAGGUGCAGGGCAGUGGAGAAGCCCAUGGCACACACCCACAGGUCAGUAUGGAUACAAAGCCACAGCAGGGCACUAGUACAAAAGUGCAUUGCUACAGGAACAACCAGAGUAGAUUUUAUUUAAUAAUUUGUACAAGGAACACAAUAGUAAUUCAAUAAUUCCAUUUAUUAAUUGUCAAAUAGUAAUCCACUGCAAUAAGAAAGAAAAAAUCAACACAAAAUAAGUUGCAGUUUGUGUGGUUAUGUGUUGUACGUGUGUGUGUGUGUUUGUGUUUAACUUAAACUGGCGAGAGCAAGAACAGAAAAUUAACCUUUAAAUGAGUAUGUUAUAUACAAUCAAUAUCAACAUGUUACUUUGCUGGAUAGAUUUAUUUGGUGUUAUCCAAUCUUACCAACAGGCCUAAACAUUGUUGCAAAUAACUGGAGGGCAAACCCAAAGCAGAACAACAAACCCAUAAAUAAGAUGCAGGAUUCAAGACAUCUCCUGCAGAAAAUAAACAGUGGUGCUUUGUGUCAUAUCUGAAACCCUUUCAUAAUGAAUAUUUUGUGCUAAAACUCUUUAUGUGAACAUACAUGGAAUUCUAUCAUUUAAAUAAAAGUGGAAAAAAAAUCCCAAC
This is a long non-coding RNA of Prinia subflava (tawny-flanked prinia), 991 nucleotides long. RefSeq lists it as uncharacterized. The record is from RefSeq and is a predicted model, not a curated record. The transcript is spliced from 2 exons. Lineage: Eukaryota; Metazoa; Chordata; Aves; Passeriformes; Cisticolidae.